RNAcentral lists this ribosomal RNA (502 nucleotides) under uncultured bacterium. RNAcentral describes it as "partial 16S ribosomal RNA". It matches the Rfam family "Bacterial small subunit ribosomal RNA", at positions 28 to 523 of the family's 1533-position model. The record is from RNAcentral.
AUUGAACGCUGGCGGAAUGCUUUACACAUGCAAGUCGAACGGCAGCACGGACUUCGGUCUGGUGGCGAGUGGCGAACGGGUGAGUAAUGCAUCGGAACGUGCCCAGUCGUGGGGGAUAGCCCGGGGAAACCCGGAUUAAUACCGCAUACGACCUGAGGGUGAAAGCGGGGGACUCGCAAGGGCCUCGCGCGAUUGGAGCGGCCGAUGCCGGAUUAGGUAGUUGGUGGGGUAAAGGCCUACCAAGCCUGCGAUCCGUAGCUGGUCUGAGGGGACGACCAGCCACACUGGGACUGAGACACGGCCCAGACUCCUACGGGAGGCAGCAGUGGGGAAUUUUGGACAAUGGGGGCAACCCUGAUCCAGCCAUGCCGCGUGCGGGAAGAAGGCCUUCGGGUUGUAAACCGCUUUUGUCAGGGAAGAAAUGUCCUGGGCUAAUACCCUGGGGGGAUGACGGUACCUGAAGAAUAAGCACCGGCUAACUACGUGCCAGCCGCCGCAGUAA